UACGAGGGGGGCAAGCGUUGUUCGGAAUUAUUGGGCGUAAAGGGUGCGUAGGCGGUUUGGCAAGUCUUAUGUGAAAUCUACAGGCUCAACUUGUAGUCUGCAUGAGAAACUGCCGGGCUUGAGUAUGGGAGAGGUGAGUGGAAUUCCUGGUGUAGCGGUGAAAUGCGUAGAUAUCAGGAGGAACACCUGUGGCGAAAGCGGCUCACUGGACCAUAACUGACGCUGAUGCACGAAAGCUAGGGGAGCAAACAGG
This 253-nucleotide ribosomal RNA is filed under the name uncultured bacterium. RNAcentral describes it as "partial 16S ribosomal RNA". It matches the Rfam family "Bacterial small subunit ribosomal RNA", at positions 524 to 776 of the family's 1533-position model. The record is from RNAcentral.